Molecule: small RNA, 100 nt
Filed under: uncultured Ruminococcus sp.
Lineage: Bacteria; Bacillati; Bacillota; Clostridia; Eubacteriales; Oscillospiraceae
Also listed under: 1 other name
Description: RT-5 RNA
Rfam family: RT-5 RNA
About the family: Clostridium (Firmicutes).
Source: RNAcentral
GCGCCUGCGGCGGGUCAGGCAGGCUGAAUACGGUACUUCGCAGGCAGUCUCAGCUUGUACGGCCUUGUACAUCCAAUAAUUUAUUGGAUUUAACUUUUUC